AAAACCAUUUUUACAAACCUUAAAAGAAAAGAAAAACUCCACUUACUUUCAUUCAUCAUAAACAACCAUCUCAUUUUGAACUCUUAAUUAUAAUACAAAUUCAAUGCAUUGAAACUUUUCAAGUGCUGAUAUUGAUUUAUUUCAAGAAGUUGAGAUAAAAUUGCAGGUUUAAGAAAAAGAGAAAGAGUGCUAUAGAAAAGUUACAUCUUUUUAUUUCAAUCUAUUCCUACCAAAAAGCAUGUCCCCUGCAUUUUAAGAGUGCUAUAGAAAAGCUCAGGAUAGAAGUUGUCAUACUAAACUGAUAAGGCUUGAUUGGAUAGAAGUUGCAAGGAACCAUGACUGCUACAACUAGCUAGUUUAGGAUGAGAUGAUGAAAAUAAAGUUAGGAGAAAUAAUUAAUAUUGUAAUCACUUUUUUUUUUUAUAAUGUUUGUACUUUGUAAUCACAUUUUCUAUUUCUUGAUGAUUUAUGUUUGGUUUGCUAAUUCUUUCAAU
Trifolium pratense (red clover) is the source of this 494-nucleotide long non-coding RNA. RefSeq lists it as uncharacterized. The record is from RefSeq and is a predicted model, not a curated record. The transcript is spliced from 3 exons. NCBI's taxonomy places the organism in Eukaryota, Viridiplantae, Streptophyta, Magnoliopsida, Fabales, Fabaceae.